Lolium perenne is the source of this 2338-nucleotide non-coding RNA. The record is from RefSeq and is a predicted model, not a curated record. Lineage: Eukaryota; Viridiplantae; Streptophyta; Magnoliopsida; Poales; Poaceae.
GCCCAGCGCCGAGAAGAGCAAAGCUCAUUUUGAAAACAGGCAAGCCGCACCGUCAGGAUCGCCCAGAAUCGCCGCCGCCCACGACCGCUGCACCGCCAGGAUCACCCGCCGCCAGGAUCGCCCACCUUCCACGCCCGCUGCCAGGAUCGCCCGCCACCCACGACAGGAUCGCCGCCGUUAGGAUCGCCCGCCGCGUACGGUCGUCGCCUCCGAGUUUCACCCGCUCACCGCGCCGCCUCCGAGUUUCGCCCGCUCACCGCGCCCGCCGUCGCAUCAGCUCGUUGCCAUCAUCACCUUCACGCCAUUGUUGGAGGCGCAUCUGUUCACCUCCUCCACCGAGCGAUGGAUCUUGUGGCACUUGGAUCGCACUGAUUGAAGCUGUAUUUGAUCACUAUUGAGUAUUGACAGAUGUGCCUAACGAUAUCCCUGCCGGUGUUGCCGCGGACGAGGAGACUGAGGCUAAACCGCACUACAGGGGUUUAUGGAGUACAACAUCUGGUAAUUACUUGACUGCCAAUUGCUCGAUAGAAUGCCCCUAACGAUCGGCCAGGGGGUAUCCUCCAUUACGAAAACGGUAAAACAUGAUGCGGAAGUUCCUGGCAGUCAAAACAAUUGAUUGUGUUCAAUACUAAACUGUGAAUUGCUCUGAGCUUCCACGAAUCAAGAUGCCGGAUGUACAAAAGGUAUCGCAUGCUCAACCUUAAUAAAAGAACAUGAAAAUAUAUUCCCUAAAGGUUGUGUUUUUAUUUACAGCCAUAUCAUCGGUUUUAAGUAAAAAGGUUAGCAUGUUUCUUCUACCAUCUCUGAAAAAAGGAAGUGUCUGGCAGAAUUUGGUAUUGCUGCAUAACAUAUACAUAGCUUCCGUCAGGACAUUGGAAAGGGAAGUGCCUUGAUGAUUUAGUAUUGUCACACAAUGACAAUGAUAAGUACCUAACUAAUAACUUGUUGAAGAUAAAUAGUUGGAUUAACCAUUAGUGCGUUUUCUUCGUCUCGUGGUUUAUAAGAACAUCCCACUGUCUUGCCCAUUACUUGCAAAUCUCUUUUAGCUUAAGAACGGUCUGGCGUGGUGUAUCCUUACAAGUUGGAAACUUUGGUCAUAUCUUUCUAUUCAAAUACUUAACUGAAUCUUUGACCUUUGAGGUGUCAGAUUGGACUGGUAUUUUUAGGGCACGCGUUUGACAAAGAUUGUUUUUUGCGCUUCAUCAGUACUAUUAUAUUGGAGUUGGUCGUUUGACACUCAAAAUGUUUGAUGGUCGUCAUUGGAAGCAUCCAGACCAUCCAAUUUAAUCUUACAGCCUCCGAUCACUUCUCAAGGUAAAUCGCCCCUCCACCUUUCCUUAUUACCGCUAAUCAUGUUAUUAAAUCCGAAUCAAUACAAAUUUCUACUUACCUAAACAAAGUUGAUUUCCAUCGCGCGCUCAUCCAAUUGGUUACACGCAAAUAUAUUCUAGAUGGCGUUCUUGAUAAGGGCAUUUUGCUUGUAGUCAGAUCCAUUUUUAGCUAUACAAGUUCAUGCGCAAUCCUAAUUUUUAUGUUUUGGAUUGUUUUGUUGGUCAGAAUAGGGAAUAUGUUGCAUGAUUUUUUGGGUAUUUCGAAGUGAGUUUUUGGUGCAUGAUUCCAAUCAGAUGGAUUUAUUUAUCCAAGUUCUUCCCCUUCUCCACUCCCGUCUGCUUUUAUUUUUCCAAGCCAAACACGGCAGAUGAUAACAAAUAAAAUGUUGGCUAUUUUUCGUGACUUUUUUUUUUUGCUGAUGAAAUGGACACCCCGAAUAUUGAGUAAGCUUGUGGAUGGAUUUCUAGAGGAUCUUGGUCCAAUUAACUAAUAAGUAACUGCAGCUAUGUGCUAUAACAGGUGUGCGCACUACCGAGCCGAUGCAUGUGAGCCUGUUGGAGUGAUAUUUUUGAUUGCCUGCACUUUCCCGAGGAAGCAAAUGUAAAAUUUCAGGGUUGUCAUUGUUAAAGAAAUUUGAUGUUUUCUUUAGACAAUAUAUAUUGUUUGUGGAUUGAACUCCCAAUUAUUAGUUUGGCAGACCCAUGUCUAAUUUAACUGCUAUUUCGUUCAAAAUUUUGAUCUUACCAAGUGUGGAAGGUCUAGGCAAACUAAAGUAUAUAUGAGAAUGGGUAGAAUGAGAUAUGUAUCCUUUAAAAAAGUUACUUCCUUUGUUCACUAAUAUCAGACGAUGCAGCGAUUGUAUGGACAUAGGAUAUGUAUCUUUGAUUCUUACCAGUUAUAAAAUUUCAUUCAAUUGGAGUAAACUAUAGCAGAUGUAUAAGUAUAGUUGAUAAUGCUUGUGCUGCUGGUAAUUUUUUUAUUCCUUGCUGAAAUCAUCUCUGGUUGA